RNAcentral lists this ribosomal RNA (253 nucleotides) under uncultured bacterium. Its description in RNAcentral is "partial 16S ribosomal RNA". It matches the Rfam family "Bacterial small subunit ribosomal RNA", at positions 524 to 776 of the family's 1533-position model. The record is from RNAcentral.
UACAGAGGGUGCAAACGUUGUUCGGAAUUACUGGGCGUAAAGCGCGUGUAGGCGGCCCUGCAAGUCGGAUGUGAAAUCCCACGGCUCAACCGUGGAAGGGCAUUCGAAACUGCGGGGCUGGAGUACUGGAGAGGAAGGUGGAAUGCUCGGUGUAGAGGUGAAAUUCGUAGAUAUCGAGCGGAACACCGGUGGCGAAGGCGGCCUUCUGGACAGUUACUGACGCUGAGACGCGAAAGCGUGGGGAGCAAACAGG